UUACUACUUUUCUUCAACUGAUUUAAAGUAUCUUCAUAUCACAACAGCCCCCUUCAAGCUAGGUGGGGCAAAAAUGUUAAACACACCUAGCUUGGACAAAAGAUAUUCAUGUUGCACUCUGGCUAACCCUUUAGUUAGAAUAUCAGCUGGUUGUUCUUGAGUAGGAAGAUAGUUAACACUAAUUAAACCUUGUUGUAACCUCU
Molecule: long non-coding RNA, 203 nt
Filed under: Solanum tuberosum (potato)
Lineage: Eukaryota; Viridiplantae; Streptophyta; Magnoliopsida; Solanales; Solanaceae
Description: long non-coding RNA (STUB_LNC000037)
Source: RNAcentral